CACAAUACAUAUACUCUGAACAUUUGGAUGGACUAUCGAUUGAGAUAUUGGAUUACAUACGUGGAUCUGUGUUACUGUGUCCUUGAGAAAAGUCAUCCUAUCCUGAUGGAUACCCUUCCUCCACCAGUGGUGUUGGAAGAGGAUGUAUUGGGAGGAGGAUCCAUCAACACCCUGGAAAUAUGUUUGUGAUGCACUUACACAUAACACUUUUUUUGAGUGAUGAAUGAGUGUAUCGUCUUCAAUUUAUAAGUUAAGAGUCAAGGCCAGUGAAUGGACAGCUUUGUAAAGAUACCCUGAAUGAGUGGAACCUGGCCUCUUUCAUUACAAAGUUUGAUGUGGAAGAGAUGGAACAUGAAACGCU
Long non-coding RNA from Oncorhynchus tshawytscha (Chinook salmon), 361 nucleotides. The record is from Ensembl. NCBI's taxonomy places the organism in Eukaryota, Metazoa, Chordata, Actinopteri, Salmoniformes, Salmonidae.